This 301-nucleotide ribosomal RNA is filed under the name uncultured bacterium. RNAcentral's name for it is "partial 16S ribosomal RNA". It matches the Rfam family "Bacterial small subunit ribosomal RNA", at positions 509 to 807 of the family's 1533-position model. The record is from RNAcentral.
CAGUCGCCGCGGGAAAACGAAGGGGGCUAGCGUUGCUCGGAUUUACUGGGCGUAAAGGGCGCGUAGGUGGUUAUUUAAGUCUGAUGUGAAAGCCCCCGGCUCAACCGGGGAGGGUCAUUGGAAACUGGGAAACUUGAGUGCAGAAGAGGAGAGUGGAAUUCCACGUGUAGCGGUGAAAUGCGUAGAGAUGUGGAGGAACACCAGUGGCGAAGGCGACUCUCUGGUCUGUAACUGACGCUGAGGAGCGAAAGCGUGGGGAGCGAACAGGAUUAGAUACCCCGGUAGUCCCUGUCUCUUAUAC